RNAcentral lists this ribosomal RNA (800 nucleotides) under uncultured bacterium. RNAcentral describes it as "bacterial SSU rRNA". It matches the Rfam family "Bacterial small subunit ribosomal RNA", at positions 8 to 782 of the family's 1533-position model. The record is from RNAcentral.
AGAGUUUGAUCCUGGCUCAGAACGAACGCUGGCGGCGUGCCUAACACAUGCAAGUCGUACGAGAAAGUCCCCGCAAGGGGAUGAGUAAAGUGGCGCACGGGUGAGUAACGCGUGGGUAACCUACCCUUAAAUUGGGGAUAACUCCGCGAAAGCGGGGCUAAUACCGAAUAAUACCCCGUUUCCCUUGGGAAACGGGGUCAAAGAUGGCCUCUGCAUGCAAGCUAUUGUUUAAGGAUGGGCCCGCGUACCAUUAGCUAGUUGGUAGGGUAACGGCCUACCAAGGCUGCGAUGGUUAGCUGGUCUGAGAGGAUGGCCAGCCACACUGGAACUGAGACACGGUCCAGACUCCUACGGGAGGCAGCAGUGGGGAAUCUUGCGCAAUGGGGGAAACCCUGACGCAGCAACACCGCGUGGGUGAUGAAGGCCUUCGGGUCGUAAAGCCCUGUCAAGUGGAAAGAAACGUGACCAUGCCAAUACCAUGGUCAUUUGACGGUACCACUGGAGGAAGCACCGGCUAACUCCGUGCCAGCAGCCGCGGUAAUACGGAGGGUGCAAGCGUUGUUCGGAAUUAUUGGGCGUAAAGCGCGUGUAGGCGGUCGGGUAAGUCAGAUGUGAAAUCCUUCUGCUUAACAGAAGAAGUGCAUUUGAUACUGCUCGGCUGGAGUACGGGAGAGGAGAGUGGAAUUCCCGGUGUAGAGGUGAAAUUCGUAGAUAUCGGGAGGAACACCGGUGGCGAAGGCGGCUCUCUGGUCCGAUACUGACGCUGAGACGCGAAAGCGUGGGGAGCAAACAGGAUUAGA